GAUGAAGAACGCAGCGAAAUGCGAUAAGUAAUGUGAAUUGCAGAAUUCAGUGAAUCAUCGAAUCUUUGAACGCAUCUUGCGCCCCUUGGUAUCCCGAGGGGCAUGCCUGUUCGAGCGUCAUUUCACCACUCAAGCCUGGCUUGGUGUUGGGCGACGUCCCCUUUGGGGACGCGCCUCGAAACGCUCGGCGGCGUGGCACCGGCUUUAAGCGUAGCAGAAUCUUUCGCUUUGGAAGUCGGGGCCCCGUCUGCCGGAAGACCUACUCGCAAGGUUGACCUCGGAUCAGGCAGGGAUACCCGCUGAACUUAAGCAUAUCAAUAAGCGGAGGA
RNAcentral lists this unclassified non-coding RNA (329 nucleotides) under soil metagenome. RNAcentral's name for it is "partial contains 5.8S ribosomal RNA, internal transcribed spacer 2, and large subunit ribosomal RNA". The stretch from base 1 to 120 matches the Rfam family "5.8S ribosomal RNA", at positions 35 to 154 of the family's 154-position model. The record is from RNAcentral.